CCUACGGGGGGCUGCAGUGGGGAAUAUUGGACAAUGGGGGCAACCCUGAUCCAGCCAUGCCGCGUGUGUGAAGAAGGCCCUCGGGUUGUAAAGCACUUUCAGUGAGGAAGAACGCCUGGUGGUUAAUACCCAUCAGGAAAGACAUCACUCACAGAAGAAGCACCGGCUAACUCCGUGCCAGCAGCCGCGGUAAUACGGAGGGUGCGAGCGUUAAUCGGAAUUACUGGGCGUAAAGCGCGCGUAGGUGGCUUGAUAAGCCGGUUGUGAAAGCCCCGGGCUCAACCUGGGAACGGCAUCCGGAACUGUCAAGCUAGAGCGCAGGAGAGGAAGGUAGAAUUCCCGGUGUAGCGGUGAAAUGCGUAGAGAUCGGGAGGAAUACCAGUGGCGAAGGCGGCCUUCUGGACUGACACUGACACUGAGGUGCGAAAGCGUGGGUAGCAAACAGGAUUAGUACCCGAGUAGUC
RNAcentral lists this ribosomal RNA (464 nucleotides) under Vreelandella stevensii. RNAcentral describes it as "partial 16S ribosomal RNA". It matches the Rfam family "Bacterial small subunit ribosomal RNA", at positions 338 to 795 of the family's 1533-position model. Lineage: Bacteria; Pseudomonadati; Pseudomonadota; Gammaproteobacteria; Oceanospirillales; Halomonadaceae. The record is from RNAcentral.